GAUGAACGCUGGCGGCGUGCCUAAUACAUGCAAGUCGAGCGAACAGACGAGGAGCUUGCUCCUCUGACGUUAGCGGCGGACGGGUGAGUAACACGUGGAUAACCUACCUAUAAGACUGGGAUAACUUCGGGAAACCGGAGCUAAUACCGGAUAAUAUAUUGAACCGCAUGGUUCAAUAGUGAAAGACGGUUUUGCUGUCACUUAUAGAUGGAUCCGCGCCGCAUUAGCUAGUUGGUAAGGUAACGGCUUACCAAGGCGACGAUGCGUAGCCGACCUGAGAGGGUGAUCGGCCACACGGGAACUGAGACACGGUCCAGACUCCUACGGGAGGCAGCAGUAGGGAAUCUUCCGCAAUGGGCGAAAGCCUGUCGGAGCAACGCCGCGUGAGUGAUGAAGGUCUUCGGAUCGUAAAACUCUGUUAUUAGGGAAGAACAAAUGUGUAAGUAACUAUGCACGUCUUGACGGUACCUAAUCAGAAAGCCACGGCUAACUACGUG
This 497-nucleotide ribosomal RNA is filed under the name uncultured bacterium. RNAcentral describes it as "partial 16S ribosomal RNA". It matches the Rfam family "Bacterial small subunit ribosomal RNA", at positions 28 to 507 of the family's 1533-position model. The record is from RNAcentral.